This 1343-nucleotide ribosomal RNA is filed under the name uncultured bacterium. Its description in RNAcentral is "16S ribosomal RNA". It matches the Rfam family "Bacterial small subunit ribosomal RNA", at positions 28 to 1378 of the family's 1533-position model. The record is from RNAcentral.
GACGAACGCUGUCGGCGUGCUUAACACAUGCAAGUCGAACGGAAAGGCCCUGCUUUUGUGGGGUGCUCGAGUGGCGAACGGGUGAGUAACACGUGAGUAACCUGCCCUUGACUUUGGGAUAACUUCAGGAAACUGGGGCUAAUACCGGAUAGGAGCUCCUGCUGCAUGGUGGGGGUUGGAAAGUUUCGGCGGUUGGGGAUGGACUCGCGGCUUAUCAGCUUGUUGGUGGGGUAGUGGCUUACCAAGGCUUUGACGGGUAGCCGGCCUGAGAGGGUGACCGGCCACAUUGGGACUGAGAUACGGCCCAGACUCCUACGGGAGGCAGCAGUGGGGAAUAUUGCACAAUGGGCGGAAGCCUGAUGCAGCAACGCCGCGUGCGGGAUGACGGCCUUCGGGUUGUAAACCGCUUUCGCCUGUGACGAAGCGUGAGUGACGGUAAUGGGUAAAGAAGCACCGGCUAACUACGUGCCAGCAGCCGCGGUGAUACGUAGGGUGCGAGCGUUGUCCGGAUUUAUUGGGCGUAAAGGGCUCGUAGGUGGUUGAUCGCGUCGGAAGUGUAAUCUUGGGGCUUAACCCUGAGCGUGCUUUCGAUACGGGUUGACUUGAGGAAGGUAGGGGAGAAUGGAAUUCCUGGUGGAGCGGUGGAAUGCGCAGAUAUCAGGAGGAACACCAGUGGCGAAGGCGGUUCUCUGGGCCUUUCCUGACGCUGAGGAGCGAAAGCGUGGGGAGCGAACAGGCUUAGAUACCCUGGUAGUCCACGCUGUAAACGGUGGGUACUAGGUGUGGGGUCCAUUCCACGGGUUCCGUGCCGUAGCUAACGCUUUAAGUACCCCGCCUGGGGAGUACGGCCGCAAGGCUAAAACUCAAAGGAAUUGACGGGGCCCCGCACAAGCGGCGGAGCAUGCGGAUUAAUUCGAUGCAACGCGUAGAACCUUACCUGGGUUUGACAUGGAUCGGGAGCGCUCAGAGAUGGGUGUGCCUCUUUUGGGGUCGGUUCACAGGUGGUGCAUGGCUGUCGUCAGCUCGUGUCGUGAGAUGUUGGGUUAAGUCCCGCAACGAGCGCAACCCUUGUUCACUGUUGCCAGCACGUUAUGGUGGGGACUCAGUGGAGACCGCCGGGGUCAACUCGGAGGAAGGUGGGGAUGACGUCAAGUCAUCAUGCCCCUUAUGUCCAGGGCUUCACGCAUGCUACAAUGGCUGGUACAGAGAGUGGCGAGCCUGUGAGGGUGAGCGAAUCUCGGAAAGCCGGUCUCAGUUCGGAUUGGGGUCUGCAACUCAACCUCAUGAAGUCGGAGUCGCUAGUAAUCGCAGAUCAGCAACGCUGCGGUGAAUACGUUCCCGGG